UACGUAGGGUGCGAGCGUUGUCCGGAAUUAUUGGGCGUAAAGAGCUUGUAGGCGGUUUGUCGCGUCUGCUGUGAAAAUCCGGGGCUCAACCCCGGACUUGCAGUGGGUACGGGCAGACUAGAGUGUGGUAGGGGAGACUGGAAUUCUUGGUGUAGCAGUGAAAUGCGUAGAUAUCAAGAGGAACACCAGUGGCGAAGGCGAGUCCCUGGACAACACCUGACACUGAGGCACGAAAGCUAGGGGAGCAAACAGG
Molecule: ribosomal RNA, 253 nt
Filed under: uncultured bacterium
Lineage: Bacteria
Description: partial 16S ribosomal RNA
Rfam family: Bacterial small subunit ribosomal RNA
Source: RNAcentral